CCUACGGGAGGCAGCAGUGGGGGAUAUUGCACAAUGGGGGGAACCCUGAUGCAGCGACGCCGCGUGGGUGAAGGAGUGCUUCGGCAUGUAAAGCCCUAUCGGCAGGGAAGAAGCAAGACGGUACCUGACUAAGAAGCCCCGGCUAACUACGUGCCAGCAGCCGCGGUAAUACGUAGGGGGCGAGCGUUAUCCGGAUUCACUGGGUGGAAAGGGAGCGUAGACGGCCAUGCAAGCCAGGGGUGAAAGCCCGGGGCCCAACCCCGGGACUGCCCUUGGAACUGCAUGGCUGGAGUGCGGGAGGGGCAGGCGGAAGUCCUGGUGUAGCGGUGAAAUGCGUAGAGAGCAGGAGGAACACCGGCGGCGAAGGCGGCCUGCUGGACCGCGACUGACGUUGAGGCUCGAAAGCGUGGGGAGCGAACAGGAUUAGAUACCCUUGUAGUC
This 441-nucleotide ribosomal RNA is filed under the name uncultured bacterium. RNAcentral describes it as "partial 16S ribosomal RNA". It matches the Rfam family "Bacterial small subunit ribosomal RNA", at positions 338 to 795 of the family's 1533-position model. The record is from RNAcentral.